This is a small nuclear RNA of Heteronotia binoei (common prickly gecko), 103 nucleotides long. The record is from RefSeq and is a predicted model, not a curated record. NCBI's taxonomy places the organism in Eukaryota, Metazoa, Chordata, Lepidosauria, Squamata, Gekkonidae.
UUGCUUCGGCAGCACAUAUACUAAAAUUGGAACGAUACAGAGAAGAUUAGCAUGGCACUGCGCAACAUGGCUUCUCUUCUGUUCAUAUGUGACUCGGAGUGUU